UAUCCAUGGUGGGGGCAAAGAGUUUACAACUCUUUAUAUCUCUCCCAGGGUUGAUAUAAGGCUUCGUUAUCCUUUUGGGCAAAUGAAGAAAUUUGCUUCUUAACGGCA
Molecule: small nucleolar RNA, 108 nt
Filed under: Olea europaea subsp. europaea
Lineage: Eukaryota; Viridiplantae; Streptophyta; Magnoliopsida; Lamiales; Oleaceae
Description: Plant small nucleolar RNA R71
Rfam family: Plant small nucleolar RNA R71
About the family: R71 is a member of the C/D box family of snoRNAs containing the C (UGAUGA) and D (CUGA) box motifs.
Source: Rfam by way of RNAcentral